CAGUAUUAAACCAAGUUCUUUCCAUUGGCUGUUUGUCUAUAACAGUCCAGCUAUUUGCGGGGCGGCAAACUCAACUGGCUGCUUAAAGGGUUUUUACCCUGAGUUCAGUAAAGGCAGCUUCUUCCUUACAACUCUGAAAUUUAAAAAAGUACAUGGGAUUAACAAUCUGUUGAUGACCAGCUCACGCUCAAAGAUUUGGACAUAGCCAAUUGCAUCCCACAAGGUGAUGUUGAAGAAAUGUUUCUCAGACUCACCUGCUCGUCUCUUGAAAGUAUAACAGUUCAAGGAAAUAAUUUUAAGGUAGACAGGAAUUGGGGGAUGGGAAAUGUCCACAUGUCGCCAAUUUGAGGAGCUAGAUCUCGCCACUGUCAGUCCCUCUCUCAAGAUUUGCAAAUUUUGAGGUGCAACAUUUAUGACCUUUCCAAUAUCAGUCUUGUGGCUUGAAAUUACAUUCUUGGAACCUCCAAUUGUAUCACUAUAGUGGUACACCCAUUCCCAGCUCAAACUGCCACAAGGGCGGUACUAUUGGCUUUCUAUCUCAGACAUGCUGCACAUAGGAUUCAAGAGAUAGUCUGAACAAGCUCUGAAAGAUUGAUCAGCAACAGUUUAAAAAGGCUUUGUUUCUUGCUCUUCAUUUUCUACUGCAGUGAAGAUCCACGUUUUCUUUUGUCUAUAAUUUCCAUGUUUCAUGUUUCUUCUUUCCUCAAUCGUGAGAAAAUUUCCACUUGCAUAGAAAUUGUUGGCCUCAACUAGACUCUUCAUCCUUCAUCCACAGUGUGAACUACUCCCAAAACUAAGAUUAAGUAAUGAAAUUUAGAUUAAAUUGUUCUUAAGAGCAACCCAAAAAUAAAAACAGCAACACUACAAGAAAUUUCUAAAUGGUAAUAUUUGUGUAUCAAAGAUCAUCAACUUCAAACAUCAAACUUGUUAUAUUUUUAGAACAGGGCCUGGUUUAUAAGCUCCAAUUUUCUGAGGGAGACAUAAAAUCCUUGGCAUUUUGACACCUCCAACAUUAACUCCAAAAUUAACACGCAACUACAGCUAUAAUGAGUGGCUAAACAAACAGAAAUUCUUGAGAUCAACCUCAAAUUUAUUAUCUAAUAAAGCCAUCUGCAAAAUACACCAAAUUCUUCCCACAGAUUUCUUUGCUGAAAACGAAAAGCCCAUCUCUAUUUAUGCAUUUUCAUCCAGUGCAGAGAAAUUUCACAGGGCAUAAAAACAAAAAUAAAUCAAAUAAUAAAAAGUGCAAAAUCAUUCAUCAAAAAGCUUUCUCAAUAGAUUAAAUUAAAAAAUAAUAAUAAAAAUAAUCUUCCUUGCCCUUUUCUUUUUUUUUUAAUCCUUAAUUUCCUUUAUUUGCUUGGACGUAUAUAUUAUGCAACAUUUUCUUUUUUCCUGUUCUUCAAAUUAGUUUUUUAUAACCCAAACCACUUGCAGGCAAGGAUUUAGCCUUCUUGCAAAUAACAACAGAUUCAGGCUGUUAUGGAGCAGCAGUUUGCUUGCUUGCCAGUUGUCAGUGGUCAGGGGUAGUAGUUGCUUCUAGCUGUCUAUUUGAGUCACAUCAGAAGUAUAAUAUCCCUGCCUUUAUCAUCUCCGACUUAAAAAGGGUGAGAGACAAUAGGAUAAUUCAGGGAAAACUGGAGAGGAAGAACAAAUAAUGACUUUCUACUCCCCUUUUUAAUUCACUGCCUCACCUGGCGCUUUCUCUGGGGUUUUAGAUCAACAACAAUGAUAGAUAUGUUGUCGCAGCUGUUUUUGCCGUAAGCUAUUUCAGUGAGAUUAUCAGCCACAGCUUGUGCCGGAGAAAUUUCAUCGGACACCAUUGUUCUGCGCCACCUUCUUAAGAGUCGGCGAGCCACAUCCCCUACCUCUUCAUUUGCCAUUACAUCCCACAGACCAUCACUUGCCAGAAUCAAGCAUUCAUCCUCAUCAGUCCUUGUCAUGAAAGUGAUCUCAGGCACUGGAAUUAUCGAUGGCCUUAAAUACCUAUCACCUAAAACACCAAAAAAGAGCUAGAGUGACAUAGAGUAAUCAUUGUCAUACCGAUAGCAGUUCAAACGGAAGUGCUCAUGUUUUAAGAUCCAUUUACUAGUGACCAUUGAACAAUGCUUGCCUAAGAAAUAAAAGCAUUAUGACAGUCUUUUCAUUAUGUACAUGAUUUAUAUAGACUUAUAACAAAAAACUAAGAAAUAAAAGAUCAAACGAAGGAAAUCAAAACAUAACAUGAAAAAUAAAACUAGAAUGGUUUCAUUGCAAGUUAAACCUUUUAAACUACCUAAACGGAGAAAGUAUGUUCCUAGAAUCUAAAAAAGAAUUAUUUUCCUCUAAUGUGGAAGUUCCAUUUUUCUGAAGGAUUAAUUGAAAAAAACCAUCAAAUGAGAACACCUAACGUUAAAUUAUAGUCGAGCAAUUACACAACAAAACAGUAAGGCAGAGACAAUACUUUAAGAAUUCUCAUGGCGGCGAUAAUGACGGGUUAAGAAUCAAAAUGCCCAUCAUAACUAUAAUAUAAUAAUACAAUAGCAACAAUAAUGUUGUGCUUCACUUUCAGGAUGAUGCAUGAAGUAAAUAAUGCAAGAUAUCAAAAGUCUACAACCACAAAAAAAUCAUAAAAUUAUAUAGUGCAGUUGUGUUGUUAAUUCUGUGGAACGUAAAUAAUAGGAAUCCGGAUGAUUUACGAAAGAAUCUAAUUAAAGAGUAAGGCCAGUAUCCAAUAAUGUUCUUGCUGCUCAAGAAUCUAUGGGUGAAGAUUAGAUUAAAAAGCACAACUACACUUGGCAAGGUUUUACUUUUGCAGUAACCGAUACGUAGCAUCAUGGCUUAUUUAUUCAAGCAAGGGGUUAUAAUCCUUCUUUCCUAUAUGCGACAUCGAUGCUAGGGGAAAUCAUAAUUGAGCUUACAAUUUGAAGACUGCCGAAACCUUGACCAUUAAUUCCUCCUCCACGCCACAACUUGAGCAAUGAUCAUUCCUACCAACACUUACCAAUCUGAUAGUGUCAAGCAAAUGUGCAUGUUCAUAUCUAAACAUGUGUUUCUGGGUUAAUUAAUAACUAAAACUACAUA
Molecule: unclassified non-coding RNA, 3060 nt
Filed under: Hevea brasiliensis (rubber tree)
Lineage: Eukaryota; Viridiplantae; Streptophyta; Magnoliopsida; Malpighiales; Euphorbiaceae
Source: RNAcentral